GCUAGCUUUAGAGCUGCUGCCAGGCACCAGUGGUCACCCUGAGGCUGCAGAGCUCUGACAGGGCCAGCCCCCGAGCCACAGCCCAACACCAUUGUGAGGACAGAGCCCUGUGAGGCCCCAGCCCCAGCCAGUUGUGUUUUUUCAGCUCCUGUCUCCCACCCCAGGCGGCUUCAGGAAAGUGGCCUGGUCACCAGGAGCUCCAAGGAGCCUGACCGGAAGGGGACAAUUAAACCAGAGGAGAAAGAGUUAACCCCAGCCUGGAGGGGGCUCCGCUUUCCCACCCUCCACAAUCACCAGGAAAUAAACAAG
Molecule: long non-coding RNA, 309 nt
Filed under: Fukomys damarensis (Damara mole-rat)
Lineage: Eukaryota; Metazoa; Chordata; Mammalia; Rodentia; Bathyergidae
Description: lncRNA (ENSFDAG00000030863.1)
Source: RNAcentral